CAUUAAAAAUUGAACAAGUGCCCGUAAAAUGCUUUAAGGGAAUCCCGGCGUAAAUCCGGAACAGUCUCCGCUGCUGUAAACCUCGUUAUUGAACUGCUGUUAAAACCACUUUCGCAAAGAAGGGAAGGUCGCAGUUUGAGGAAGUCAGAAGACCUGCCUUAGGAAUAGUUAUUAA
RNAcentral lists this non-coding RNA (175 nucleotides) under Pedobacter cryoconitis. Lineage: Bacteria; Pseudomonadati; Bacteroidota; Sphingobacteriia; Sphingobacteriales; Sphingobacteriaceae. The record is from RNAcentral.